UAGCUAGUUGGUGAGGUAAAGGCUUACCAAGGCGACGAUCUGUAGCGGGUCUGAGAGGAUGAUCCGCCACACUGGAACUGAGACACGGUCCAGACUCCUACGGGAGGCAGCAGUGGGGAAUUUUGGACAAUGGGGGCAACCCUGAUCCAGCCAUGCCGCGUGAGUGAAGAAGGCCUUCGGGUUGUAAAGCUCUUUCGGCCGGGAAGAAAUCGCAUGGGCCAAUACCCUGUGUGGAUGACGGUACCGGAAUAAGAAGCACCGGCUAACUACGUGCCAGCAGCCGCGGUAAUACGUAGGGUGCUAGCGUUAAUCGGAAUUACUGGGCGUAAAGCGUGCGCAGGCGGUUUUGUAAGACAGGCGUGAAAUCCCCGGGCUUAACCUGGGAACUGCGUUUGUGACUGCAAGGCUAGAGUACGGCAGAGGGGGGUGGACUUCCACGUGUAGCAGUGAAAUGCGUAGAGAUGUGGAGGAACACCAAUGGCGAAGGCAGCCCCCUGGGUCGAUACUGACGCUCAUGCACGAAAGCGUGGGUAGCAAACAGGAUUAGAUACCCUGGUAGUCCACGCCCUAAACUAUGUCAACUAGGUGUUGGGUGGGUAAAACCAUUUAGUACCGUAGCUAACGCGUGAAGUUGGCCGCCUGGGGAGUACGGCCGCAAGGUUAAAACUCAAAGGAAUUGACGGGGACCCGCACAAGCGGUGGAUGAUGUGGAUUAAUUCGAUGCAACGCGAAAAACCUUACCUACCCUUGACAUGCCAGGAACUUGCCAGAGAUGGCUUGGUGCCCGAAAGGGAGCCUGACACAGGUGCUGCAUGGCUGUCGUCAGCUCGUGUCGUGAGAUGUUGGGUUAAGUCCCGCAACGAGCGCAACCCUUGUCGUUAAUUGCCAUCAUUUAGUUGGGCACUUUAACGAGACUGCCGGUGACAAACCGGAGGAAGGUGGGGAUGACGUCAAGUCCUCAUGGCCCUUAUGGGUAGGGCUUCACACGUCAUACAAUGGUCGAUACAAAGGGUUGCCAAGCCGCGAGGCGGAGCCAAUCCCAGAAAGCCGAUCGUAGUCCGGAUUGCAGGCUGCAACUCGCCUGCAUGAAGUCGGAAUCGCUAGUAAUCGUGGAUCAGCAUGUCACGGUGAAUACGUUCCCGGGUCUUGUACACACCGCCCGUCACACCAUGGGAGCGGGUUCCGCCAGAAGUAGGUAGCCUAACCGCAAGGGGGGCGCUUACCACGGCGGGGUUCGUGACUGGGGUGAAGUCGUAACAAGGUAGCCGUAGGGGAACCUGCGGCUG
This 1286-nucleotide ribosomal RNA is filed under the name metagenome. RNAcentral describes it as "bacterial SSU rRNA". It matches the Rfam family "Bacterial small subunit ribosomal RNA", at positions 242 to 1520 of the family's 1533-position model. The record is from RNAcentral.